CUACGGGAGGCAGCAGUAGGGAAUAUUGGACAAUGGGCGAAAGCCUGAUCCAGCAAUGCCGCGUGAGUGAUGAAGGCCUUAGGGUUGUAAAGCUCUUUUACCCGGGAUGAUAAUGACAGUACCGGGAGAAUAAGCCCCGGCUAACUCCGUGCCAGCAGCCGCGGUAAUA
RNAcentral lists this ribosomal RNA (169 nucleotides) under uncultured Sphingomonas sp. Its description in RNAcentral is "partial 16S ribosomal RNA". It matches the Rfam family "Bacterial small subunit ribosomal RNA", at positions 339 to 525 of the family's 1533-position model. The record is from RNAcentral. Lineage: Bacteria; Pseudomonadati; Pseudomonadota; Alphaproteobacteria; Sphingomonadales; Sphingomonadaceae.